RNAcentral lists this ribosomal RNA (951 nucleotides) under Pseudomonas sp. RNAcentral describes it as "bacterial SSU rRNA". It matches the Rfam family "Bacterial small subunit ribosomal RNA", at positions 94 to 1061 of the family's 1533-position model. Lineage: Bacteria; Pseudomonadati; Pseudomonadota; Gammaproteobacteria; Pseudomonadales; Pseudomonadaceae. The record is from RNAcentral.
AGCAGCGGACGGGUGAGUAAUGCCUAGGAAUCUGCCUGGUAGUGGGGGACAACGUUUCGAAAGGAACGCUAAUACCGCAUACGUCCUACGGGAGAAAGCAGGGGACCUUCGGGCCUUGCGCUAUCAGAUGAGCCUAGGUCGGAUUAGCUAGUAGGUGAGGUAAAGGCUCACCUAGGCGACGAUCCGUAACUGGUCUGAGAGGAUGAUCAGUCACACUGGAACUGAGACACGGUCCAGACUCCUACGGGAGGCAGCAGUGGGGAAUAUUGGACAAUGGGCGAAAGCCUGAUCCAGCCAUGCCGCGUGUGUGAAGAAGGUCUUCGGAUUGUAAAGCACUUUAAGUUGGGAGGAAGGGCAGUAAGCUAAUACCUUGCUGUUUUGACGUUACCAACAGAAUAAGCACCGGCUAACUUCGUGCCAGCAGCCGCGGUAAUACGAAGGGUGCAAGCGUUAAUCGGAAUUACUGGGCGUAAAGCGCGCGUAGGUGGUUCAGCAAGUUGGAGGUGAAAUCCCCGGGCUCAACCUGGGAACUGCCUCCAAAACUACUGAGCUAGAGUACGGUAGAGGGUAGUGGAAUUUCCUGUGUAGCGGUGAAAUGCGUAGAUAUAGGAAGGAGCACCAGUGGCGAAAGCGACUACCUGGACUGAUACUGACACUGAGGUGCGAAAGCGUGGGGAGCAAACAGGAUUAGAUACCCUGGUAGUCCACGCCGUAAACGAUGUCGACUAGCCGUUGGAAUCCUUGAGAUUUUAGUGGCGCAGCUAACGCAUUAAGUCGACCGCCUGGGGAGUACUGCCGCAAGUUAAGACUCAAUGAAUUGACGGGGCCCGCACAAGCGUGGAGCAUGUGUUUAUUCGUAGCAACGCGACGACUACUGCCUGACAUGCUGAGACUAUCAGAGAUGAUGUGCUCGGGACUCAGACACAAGUGCUGCAUGCCUGUCGUCAGCUC